GAUAGUUUUGUAUUUUC
Molecule: small RNA, 17 nt
Filed under: Arabidopsis thaliana (thale cress)
Lineage: Eukaryota; Viridiplantae; Streptophyta; Magnoliopsida; Brassicales; Brassicaceae
Description: ATSL024930
Source: RNAcentral